CUGAUAAUAUACUUUUCUUUUUAAGAUUGGAAUUAUUGGUGGAACUGGCCUGGACGAUCCAGAUAUCUUAGAAGAAAGAACGGAAAAAUAUGUUGAUACUCCCUAUGGCAAGCCAUCAGAUGCUUUGAUAUUGGGAAAGAUAAAAAAUGUGGACUGUGUGCUGUUGGCAAGACAUGGAAGGCAUCAUACAAUUAUGCCAUCAAAUGUAAAUUACCGUGCCAAUAUUUGGGCAUUAAAAGAAGAGAACUGCUCACAUAUUCUAGUGACUACUGCCUGUGGUUCAUUACGAGAAGAAAUACAACCUGGGGAUCUUGUCAUAAUUGACCAAUUCAUUGAUAGG
Meleagris gallopavo (turkey) is the source of this 340-nucleotide non-coding RNA. The record is from RefSeq and is a predicted model, not a curated record. NCBI's taxonomy places the organism in Eukaryota, Metazoa, Chordata, Aves, Galliformes, Phasianidae.